RNAcentral lists this ribosomal RNA (279 nucleotides) under uncultured bacterium. RNAcentral describes it as "partial 16S ribosomal RNA". It matches the Rfam family "Bacterial small subunit ribosomal RNA", at positions 506 to 784 of the family's 1533-position model. The record is from RNAcentral.
UGCCAGCCGCCGCGGUAAUACGGAGGGGGCUAGCGUUGUUCGGAAUUACUGGGCGUAAAGCGCGCGUAGGCGGGCUGGUCAGUUGGGGGUGAAAUCCCGAGGCUCAACCUCGGAACUGCCCUCAAUACUACCAGUCUAGAGUUCGGGAGAGGUGAGUGGAAUUCCUAGUGUAGAGGUGAAAUUCGUAGAUAUUAGGAAGAACACCAGUGGCGAAGGCGGCUCACUGGCCCGAUACUGACGCUGAGGUGCGAAAGCGUGGGGAGCAAACAGGAUUAGAUA